RNAcentral lists this ribosomal RNA (462 nucleotides) under uncultured bacterium. Its description in RNAcentral is "bacterial SSU rRNA". It matches the Rfam family "Bacterial small subunit ribosomal RNA", at positions 28 to 507 of the family's 1533-position model. The record is from RNAcentral.
GACGAACGCUGGCGGCGCGCCUAACACAUGCAAGUCGAACGGAGUUUCCCCUUCGGGGGGAGCUUAGUGGCGGACGGGUGAGUAACACGUGAGGAACCUGCCUUUGAGAGCGGGAUACCGUCUGGAAACGGACGUUAAUACCGCAUAAUGCAGCGAGGCCACAUGGCCAUGCUGCCAAAGAUUUAUCGCUCAAAGAUGGCCUCGCGCCUGAUUAGAUAGUUGGCGGGGUAACGGCCCACCAAGUCUGCGAUCAGUAGCCGGACUGAGAGGUCGAACGGCCACAUUGGGACUGAGAUACGGCCCAGACUCCUACGGGAGGCAGCAGUGGGGGAUAUUGCACAAUGGGCGAAAGCCUGAUGCAGCGACGCCGCGUGAGGGAAGACGGUUUUCGGAUUGUAAACCUCUGUCUUCGGGGACGAAACAAGACGGUACCCGAGGAGGAAGCCACGGCUAAACUACGUG